Long non-coding RNA from Cheilinus undulatus (humphead wrasse), 1615 nucleotides. RefSeq lists it as uncharacterized. Lineage: Eukaryota; Metazoa; Chordata; Actinopteri; Labriformes; Labridae. The transcript has 3 exons. The record is from RefSeq and is a predicted model, not a curated record.
UUGGACCAACAAUGGACCAAAAGUAAGAAAAUAUUCUCAAAGGGCUUUCAAGGCAACUUGGACCAACAAUGGACUAACAUUAAAACAAAACAAAACAAUAUUAUCAAAGAGCUUUCAAAGAAACUUGGACCAACAAUGGAUUAACGGUUAAAAAAAACAAUACCCAUGAAGAGCUUUCAAGGAAACUUGGACCAACAACGGACUAACAGUGGAAAAAAAAACUAUAUUUUCAAAGAGCUUUCAAGGAAACUUGGACCAACAGUGGAACAACAAAAUUCUAAUUGCUCUCAGGAAAUAUCACAUCAUCAGCGUUUUUUUAAGGAAACUAUGAUGCAGCACAGAAAAUGAUCACAAGGUGCUCUGGAAGGAACAACAGCCCAACACUGAGGAAGAAUUAUGACAACCAGUGAGGCAUCAGACCUUGUUUCUAUCGCUCCUGCACAGUCACCUAGCAAUAUGAAGAUAACAAAAUGAUAAAGAAGAUUCAACAAGACCCAGGAGCCAUGGCAUAUACUGAUAACUUGUUUAUGUGUUUACUGUACCGGUCAUGUUUGCAGUCCUUUGUGUAUUUGUAUGUCUGCUGUUCUUAAAAAGUUGCCAAAAUGCCCAAUGCUGCAGAAUUGGGCUUUUUGGCAAAAUUUUCAGAGUCGCGCUGCUGCUACAGUGAGAUGGUCUUUGGUUCCUCUGUCUACAUGAGAAGUUGAGCCAGGCAUCCUCGUGCUGGGGACCAUUGCUGAAGUGUUCAUCCUAUAAGAAGACCCCGAUGCCCUCCAUCAUCAAUUGGAUGCUGAGCCAGGAUUCAGAUUGGGUCGUCAUCUAGCCACCGGAUACCUGAAGCCAUUGGAGGCCAGAGCUGCUCUAACGUCGUUCCGACAGCAACAAGUGUGUGUAGGUCCUGCUGGUGUCAGCCCUGACUCCUGAAGGACUGUGCAAACUGCAAGGGGCUUCUGGUCAUCUUCAACCCGAGCCCGAGUCUGGAGAGGAUCCCUACUUUAUGGAAGACUUCCUGCAUGGUUCCUGUCCUGAAGACUUUGCACCUCAGAGAGCUUAACCACUUCAGACUCUCGCCUUUCAUCUGAUGAAGUCCGUGGAGGAGAUCAACCUUAGCACACCUAUCCCCUGGUGAGCUCGAGUCUGGACCCCCCUGCAGCUCGCCUACCAGCCAGACAUCAGGGUGCACAACGCCGUCAUCUACCUGCUGCACAGGUCUCUGGUUCACCUGGAGAACCCCACCAGUGCUGUCAGGGUCAUGUUCUUUGACUUCUCCAGUGGAGUACAGGCAGAUCAUUGCUGGCUUUGUAAGCUGGCCCCCCAGACUGCACCAGUGAACAUCCAUCCAUCCAUCCUUCGGAGCGUGCAGAACUCUUGUUAUGGACAUUUUACGAUAGUGUGAUGUCAUCUGCUGUCCUUUAUGCAGUGGUUGGCUGUGGAGGAGGGAGCACAGAAAAAGACGAAAUAAACUGGUCAGGAGGGGCAGGUCUGUCCUGGACUGUCCCUCGCCCUGGACUCUGAGGAGGAUGUUUGCCAGCUGGCAUCCAUAAUGGACAACCCAUGACACUGUUGGGGCCUCAGCAGCCCCUUCAGCCAAAGACUGUUGAGCCCUCCAUUUAAGUAG